Molecule: small RNA, 28 nt
Filed under: Bombyx mori (domestic silkworm)
Lineage: Eukaryota; Metazoa; Arthropoda; Insecta; Lepidoptera; Bombycidae
Description: ovarian small RNA-18392
Source: RNAcentral
UAAAGUAUCAAUAAGUUGUUGGUUGCUG